GCUUACGGCCACACUACCUUGAGAACCCCCAAUCUCUGAUUUCAGAAGCUUAGCAGGGUCGGGCCUGGUUAGCACCUGGACUGCUUUGACUC
RNAcentral lists this ribosomal RNA (92 nucleotides) under Poecilia reticulata (guppy). Lineage: Eukaryota; Metazoa; Chordata; Actinopteri; Cyprinodontiformes; Poeciliidae. The record is from RNAcentral.